Molecule: transfer RNA, 83 nt
Filed under: bacterium
Lineage: Bacteria
Also listed under: 1 other name
Description: tRNA-Leu
Rfam family: tRNA
About the family: Transfer RNA (tRNA) molecules are approximately 80 nucleotides in length. Their secondary structure includes four short double-helical elements and three loops (D, anti-codon, and T loops).
Source: RNAcentral
GCCGGGAUGGCGGAAUUUGGCAGACGCAGGAGUCUUAAAAACUCCGGCCGCAAGGCGUGCAGGUUCGAGUCCUGCUCCCGGCA